AGGAUGAACGCUUUUUACAGGCUUAACACAUGCAAGUCGAGGGGCAGCAUGGUCUUAGCUUGCUAAGGCCGAUGGCGACCGGCGCACGGGUGAGUAACACGUAUCCAACCUGCCGUCUACUCUUGGACAGCCUUCUGAAAGGAAGAUUAAUACAAGAUGGCAUCAUGAGUCCGCAUGUUCACAUGAUUAAAGGUAUUCCGGUAGACGAUGGGGAUGCGUUCCAUUAGAUAGUAGGCGGGGUAACGGCCCACCUAGUCUUCGAUGGAUAGGGGUUCUGAGAGGAAGGUCCCCCACAUUGGAACUGAGACACGGUCCAAACUCCUACGGGAGGCAGCAGUGAGGAAUAUUGGUCAAUGGGCGAGAGCCUGAACCAGCCAAGUAGCGUGAAGGAUGACUGCCCUAUGGGUUGUAAACUUCUUUUAUAAAGGAAUAAAGUCGGGUAUGGAUACCCGUUUGCAUGUACUUUAUGAAUAAGGAUCGGCUAACUCCGUGCCAGCAGCCGCGGUAAUACGGAGGAUCCGAGCGUUAUCCGGAUUUAUUGGGUUUAAAGGGAGCGUAGAUGGAUGUUUAAGUCAGUUGUGAAAGUUUGCGGCUCAACCGUAAAAUUGCAGUUGAUACUGGAUAUCUUGAGUGCAGUUGAGGCAGGCGGAAUUCGUGGUGUAGCGGUGAAAUGCUUAGAUAUCACGAAGAACUCCGAUUGCGAAGGCAGCCUGCUAAGCUGCAACUGACAUUGAGGCUCGAAAGUGUGGGUAUCAAACAGGAUUAGAUACCCUGGUAGUCCACACGGUAAACGAUGAAUACUCGCUGUUUGCGAUAUACUGCAAGCGGCCAAGCGAAAGCGUUAAGUAUUCCACCUGGGGAGUACGCCGGCAACGGUGAAACUCAAAGGAAUUGACGGGGGCCCGCACAAGCGGAGGAACAUGUGGUUUAAUUCGAUGAUACGCGAGGAACCUUACCCGGGCUUAAAUUGCAGAUGAAUUACGGUGAAAGCCGUAAGCCGCAAGGCAUCUGUGAAGGUGCUGCAUGGUUGUCGUCAGCUCGUGCCGUGAGGUGUCGGCUUAAGUGCCAUAACGAGCGCAACCCUUGUUGUCAGUUACUAACAGGUUCCGCUGAGGACUCUGACAAGACUGCCAUCGUAAGAUGUGAGGAAGGUGGGGAUGACGUCAAAUCAGCACGGCCCUUACGUCCGGGGCUACACACGUGUUACAAUGGGGGGUACAGAGGGCCGCUACCACGCGAGUGGAUGCCAAUCCCCAAAACCUCUCUCAGUUCGGACUGGAGUCUGCAACCCGACUCCACGAAGCUGGAUUCGCUAGUAAUCGCGCAUCAGCCACGGCGCGGUGAAUACGUUCCCGGGCCUUGUACACACCGCCCGUCAAGCCAUGGGAGCCGGGGGUACCUGAAGUGCGUAACCGCGAGGAGCGCCCUAGGGUAAAACUGGUGACUGGGGCUAAGUCAU
This 1459-nucleotide ribosomal RNA is filed under the name uncultured organism. Its description in RNAcentral is "SSU rRNA". It matches the Rfam family "Bacterial small subunit ribosomal RNA". The record is from RNAcentral.